AUGCAACGCGAAGAACCUUACCAUCCCUUGACAUGUAGAGAACUUUCUAGAGAUAGAUUGGUGCCUUCGGGAACUCUAACACAGGUGCUGCAUGGCUGUCGUCAGCUCGUGUCCUGAGAUGUUGGGUUAAGUCCCGCAACGAGCGCAACCCUUAUCAUUAGUUGCUAACAUUUAGUUGAGAACUCUAAUGAGACUGCCCGUGAUAAACCGGAGGAAGGCGGGGACGACGUCAAGUCAUCAUGGCCCUUAUGGGAUGGGCUACACACGUGCUACAAUGGGGGGUACAAAGAGCAGCCAACUGGCAACAGUGCGCGAAUCUCAAAAAACCCUUCGUAGUCCGGAUUGGAGUCUGCAACUCGACUCCANGAAGUCGGAAUCGCUAGUAAUCGCGGAUCAGAAUGCCGCGGUGAAUACGUUCCCGGGCCUUGUACACACCGCCCNUCACA
This 446-nucleotide ribosomal RNA is filed under the name uncultured Piscirickettsiaceae bacterium. Its description in RNAcentral is "bacterial SSU rRNA". It matches the Rfam family "Bacterial small subunit ribosomal RNA", at positions 954 to 1401 of the family's 1533-position model. The record is from RNAcentral. Lineage: Bacteria; Pseudomonadati; Pseudomonadota; Gammaproteobacteria; Thiotrichales; Piscirickettsiaceae.